Microcebus murinus (gray mouse lemur) is the source of this 6768-nucleotide non-coding RNA. The record is from RefSeq and is a predicted model, not a curated record. NCBI's taxonomy places the organism in Eukaryota, Metazoa, Chordata, Mammalia, Primates, Cheirogaleidae.
AUUACAGGCGUGAGCCACUGCGCCCGGCCUCUGUUAGUGUUUGUAGCAUGAGAUGUCUGGCAGCCCACUCUCGUCUUGCCUUCCAAGGAGGGCCAGAUAGUGUGGUAGGAAAAGCGUGAGACAUGGACUCUGGGAAUCUGGUUUAACACCUUUACUGUGUGUAGUUACCUACCCCAAAUUUAUUAACAAAGAUUCUCUCCUUGACCAAACUUUAGUCAGGCUCCUUUGAGCCCUCUUCUCAAUUAGGCUUUCAACCUUGGCCUGUGAGCAAUGCAAAAUCUCAGCAAAAAUAAUUUUGUCUACCUCUUAUACUAAGAGACUUGAAAAGAAACUAGCUUGGUUUCUAACAACUCAAAGUAAUGUCCCUAGCAUGGCCCAGACUUUGGAGUUCCUGCCUGGGAAAGCUCAAGGCUGCCAGAAAAAUUUAUUGUUUGAGAUUUGCCUGACCCAACACCUGCCUUGCCUAACAGUUCUCAGGAAAGAACUCCCACCUGUUUUUUUGUGAUUUUCCACUGCCCGAUUCUGCUUGUUCCUCCCCACUCCUCUCUCAUUCUUUCCCUAAAAACACCUAGUCGUCUCUGCACAGUUUGGGGUCGAGCUCAGUUUACACCCAAUGUCUCUCUCCCUCACUGCAGUAGUCUGAAUAAAAUCUGUCUUGUGUCUUUAACAAAUGGUGGGCUCUGUUCCUCUUUGACACUACAGUAAGUACUUAUUAACUCACCCAGUUUCAGUGGGCCUUAGCUGGGUAGUUCUGGCCCAAGGUCUGUCAAACUGUAGACUGGGACUGCAGUCACCUGAAGGCGUGGCCAGGGCUGGAGCGUCCACCCCAGAGGCAGCCCACUCGUGUGGCUGAUGACUUGGUGCUGGCUCGUGGCAGGAGGCCUCAGUUCUCACCACAUGAACCUCACCACAGGGCCACUGAAUGUCCUUGUGAUGGUGGCAGCUGGUUCUCCCAGAGUGAAGAGAGAGCAAGGUGAGGGCAGCAAAGUCUUUUGUGACCCAGCCCUGGAAGCCUGACACUGUCCUUUCUUCAGUAUCCUGUUGAUUUCACAAGCCACCCCCACCCCCUGUGGGAGGGGACUCCAAGGCAGGAACCAUUGGGGGCUAUUUUGGAGGCUGGCUGCUGUGACUCUGCUAGUGACCUGUGUCAUGACCUUGGGCAGGUCACCCCAGCUCUCUGGGCUGGAGCAGUAAGGGUGGGCUAGGCUUGGCCUAGGAGGUCCCUCCUGCUUCCUGGGCCUGACUUCACCUCCUACGAAGUGAGAACGCGAUUCGAUGAGCGAAAGAGUUAAUAUGCCUACAGAAGCAUUUCUCACAGAGAGUAACUCAUCUGCCAGGGGCUGGCCCAAUUCCUGGAACUGGGCUGCUUGUUUGGCGGGGGAGGGGUCGCAGCAGCUGUCUGGGUUUCCCACCAUUUCUCCUCUCACUUCCGAGGUCGGGGAGAUGGGAGGGGACAUGAACAGGUGGCUCCAGACUAGGCUGGCUUGGAUCAGCCCUGAUACAAAGACACUAAGGAUUUGGAAAUGAAAAUGCAAGUGGGGGAAAUUGGCAGGCUGCCCUUGGAAGGAGCCGGUCCUAGUUUUGCUCCUUUUAGGAGUUUUGCACCUGAUUAAUGAUUCUGUUCAAGAUGGAUUAAGCGGCUGGAGCCUUUCUCCAUUUAGCAGUGCCAGCUCUUCCCUCCUCUCAGUACUUCUUUUCGCUAGUCCCAGUCUUGCCCACCCCCAGGGAGGUUCCUGGGGCAAACCACUGGUCUAGGAUGCAAUGGGUUUUCUCCUGGGUGGGCACAGAGGCUGGACAGCAGCCCCCAGACUCCUCCCUGGGGGCAGGGACUGAGGAGAGAGCAGGGCCACAACUGCAAGUGAGGGGAGCUCAAGUUCGAAAGCCUCCCGGGCUCCUGAAUCGGAGCUUCUCUUGCCUGCUCACUUGCAGGAGGCAGUUCCUGGCUCUAUUCUACCUUCCGCAGAGAUGACUAGGAAGAAGAAGGGAGCAGGUAACCAAACCAAGAAGUUGAGAGGGAAUUGCUGUUAUUCAAGAUAAAAAAAAAAAAAAUCUGGAAUAUCCAACAUCCUCUGCAGAGGUUAACUUUCCCCCCUUCUUCCGUCCUCUUCUUCCCUUCCUCAAGCAGUCUUUUUUUCUUUUUCUUUUCUUUUGACUAAAGGGGAUACGGAGGGAGUGAAGGAGGGACCGAGGGACUGACUGACACCCCUUAAGCAGUCUUACACAGUGAAUGGCAAAGCCUGGAAAUCAUGGUCUCAGAAUUUGGACCGUCACUGCAGUGGAUCCUGCCUCUUUUCUAUUCUUCCCCUUCCUGCGAGAACAUGCUUUUCACACUCGUUGAUUAGUCAUUUGAAAAACUGCUCCUCCUGUGUGACAGCUGUCAAAGUGAGCAUUUGAUUGGGCCUCAGUUGUCCUGGGGUGACAGAGAACAACACGGAGAUGAGGGAGCUGUCUCCCCCUUCUGUGCACUCCAGUCCCGCCCCGACCCUUUUUAACUCCACUUUGCUCUUGGCUCUGCCUGCCCCUGUCCGCGGCCGGGGCCCCCUAGUCUCCCCUGCCACGUUCCAAGUUGUUCUUUAUUCAGCUGGGACCCAGGGAUCUCCCUCCAGAGAAAGCAGAUCGUUGCUGGCUCCUCCGAGUCCCGGGGUGCCAAGUCCUGCGAGGCCGCGAGAGGCGUCCCGGCACAAUGGCCCUUUAUACCUCUCUGUGUGCUCUUUCCUGGCCCCAGCUGCCCCCAUGCCCUGGUUUUCCUUAGUCUUUUCUUCAGUAUUUUUUUUCCAGUUGACUUAGUUAUUACAGUACAUGGACCUGGGGGGAGAGGCUCUGGAGGCCGGGCCUGGUGCAUGGAUUCUGAGAGCAAGUGUGACUCCCUGGCCCCACCACGACGUCACCAAGAGGUGAUGGGUCACAUUCCUGCAGAGAGGGCCCUGCGCUCACUCUGCUUUCAUGGCAGGGGACAGAUGCAGGGCCUGUCUCCUGAUAGCUGGCUUCCCUGCCAGGGUGCUGGCCCCUGCCAGCCUUGGACGGUUCCACGAACAGCAAGCACUGAGCAACUGAGUGGUGGGGGCGAGGCCAUCAUUCUCAACUCCAGCGUAGGCAUGAAGUACAAUAAAUAAGAUUGGCACAUACAAAAGAGAAAACUGCUGCAAUUAAAGGAAAGGGGCCGAUGUUGGAGUGGAUGAAAGUAGAGCUGCCAAGAUCAGGGACUGGGGGAGGAGGUUUUCAUCCGUGGGUAGGAUCAUGGUGCUGCCACGUGUCACUGUCCUGCCCCGGCCAGCGAGAGCCUCGCCUGCAAGGCAAGACAGAUGCCAGCCGGCUAUCCCCUCACAGAUUUGACUUCCUCCUUCGUUCUUGUUCACGAGGGGUUACUAGAACUUUCAAGAGCUACAUAACGUAAUGUUGACAUGAAACAUCUGCUUUCAAUUUUUAAAAAAUUUUAAACUAAACCCUUUAAAUGUAUAAUCAGAUGACUGGACUUUCAUUUUUAAGGUUCCGGAUUGCACGGGGACAACACAGAAGUCAGUAUGGACACUGAAGGUUGGCCAGAACCAGGACGGCAGAAUUCACUGCCACCGUGGUCUCCCCCUCAUUUGCCUACGCCGCAGUGCGCAUGUGCAGUGCGUGUUGCACGAGGGCUGGGAGCGGGUGACCGCUGUAGACUGCAGUUGGCAGCCUUAGAAGGCGGAGGGUGACUGGGAGCACACUUCAGGUGUGACACUGCUGCUGAAAGCUCCUCCAGAGUGUUAGACACAACAAAAAGCACCACUGCCACCGCCACUCACCAGGACUGGAAAGGCACCUUACUUUGUUGACAUUUGAAAGUGGAACAUUUCCCCUCCCUCAAUCCAGAAGAAACAUUUGUUGAGAGUCUGUGAUGUGCAAAUGUAGCAGAGGGUACAAAGAUGAGAAGAAUGUCUUUGAAGAAAUGUAUAAAUUUGGUGCAGAGGAAGGGGAAGGAGAUGGACAAGGGUGCCUCAUUGAUACACAACUCAGAAUGGGCUCGAUGCCACAGAAGUCCAAAGACACCCUUGGGAAGUGGCCAAGAGAUGAAUGCAUGAGGAUGCUCAGCCAUAGGCACCACUAUGUCCAUGGUGAAAAUAUGGAAAUCCUUCUGCCCUGGGCCUCUGACUGCCCCAUGCCACUGUGGCCCCCUCCCCUGGAACCCACAGGCCUCCCCCAGUCCCAAAACAAUGGGUUAACCCCUGCCAUGGCAGGGACCCUGGAGGCCUGGAGGCCUCCUCUACCUACAGCCAGAGUUCUGAGUAGGUGGUACCUAUGGUGGGUGUCAGUGGUAAAAUGUUUUCAGUGUCACCCCUGGCUGUGUGUGAGGGACAGGGGCUCUGGAAGCUUGCUGGUGUAUGAAGAUGAAGUAAACCUAAUAGAAGAAUGGGGUUUUGACAAGUAGAAAUCAGAGAAGGUGUUCUAGGGAGGAGGAAUAGUAUGAACAAAAACAAAAUAAGAAAUUGAUUCUUGAACAGUAAGUGGGAACUCUGCAUAUUGUAGAAGGUCUUGAUCAUUAAGUGAGGAGAUUUAACUUUAUUUGGUUGGGAGUUACCAAAGAUUUUGGAGCAGGUAAAUUAUGGAAGAUUCAUUUUGAAGUCAUGCAUAAGAAAUGACAUGGAGGCAGAAAAAUCAGUUGGAAGACUCUGCAGUCCAGGAAAGAAAUCAUAGACAGCUGAAUCAGGAUGAUGGUAACGGAAAAAGAAAGGAAAAAAGGAAUGUAAGAGACAUACCUCAAGUAGACACUAUAGAACCUAACAACUGACUAAAUGUCCCGGCCCUCACGAGCUCCCCAGAGACAGAACCUGACUCUAAUGUCACUCUUCUGGACAAUAUCCCCAAAGAGUUUGAACCUGCUAGGAACCUGAUAUUAGGCCAGCAACAAGACUGUUAUUUCUGUGUUGGUGAUGUCUCUGUCCCCAGUCUGCUGGAAGAGAAUGGGCUGAAAUAUACUAAUUGGAAGAAGUGGAAAUUACAGGAACUUUGAAAUGGAGUAGAUAAAAAUGCAACCAGUGCUAAUCAAAAGCUAAGUAUUCUCCACUGGCAAGAUGACCACCUGGGGGUGUGAGUGACAGAAAGCCAGAGCAGUAGAGAGGGGCAUGAAGGACCAGGGCAAGGCCCAGAUGCCACUGCAGGGAGGGUGAGGUUUUCCAAGAGGUGGUUUUCUAGAGUGUUUGUGAUUAGUCAAUAAAUGUUUUUGGGUUUUCACCAUUUUGUUUACCAGAUGAAGGGCUGCCAGGGGAGCCCUGGGGCUCUGGGCCACAGUAAUGACUGCAGUUGAGAGAGUGACAAUUUACAUUUGUGUGGCACUCCCAGAGGACUCAGAGCUCAGGGAGGAGCGUCCUGACUGCAUUUUCAUGUUAGAUGAUCAGAUCUAAAUGAAGGAAAGGGAAAUGCACAGAAUGUGGAAGGGAGGCCUCUUGAUAAUGGGGAUGGGGAUGGCUGCUUCAAUUCUGAGCUUCUGGACAGGCUCCUCUGCAGGUUUGCACUCGGUUGCUUCAGCAGCAGCCUCAUUUGUGGCUUCCAACCUGAUUGCCCCCAUUUCUUACCUCGUAGGGAUCGCUCUGUCAAAAACUUUUCCCAGGACUUGAAUUAAGAUAAUUUUUUGAAGCAAGAAUUGUUCGUGUCCUAUCAAAAAAAAAAAAAAAAAAGGAAAAAUAACAAAAAGAGGAAAAAAAGAUAAUCUUUUCCUUGAGAUGGUACCCAUUUUCAGGAGAAAAAUAACGUAAGAACUAGCAAGCUCUAGCUAUCACAUGCAGGCCCUGAAAGACAGGAUGGGUCACAAGCGUAACACACUCCCACCUAGAAGUCACAAUGUUUUAGCAGUGACUCUGUAUUUACCUUUCCAUUAGCCUAAUUUGAGAUAGGCACAGAAUACUAUCUAGGGUCUGGGAUUUACCAUCCACAUUUCCGUAGGUUGUUGACUAUGUACCUUUACAUAGAACAAUGUGGCCAAAGAUAGAUGCCCAGAAGUAAAACCAGUGCUCCCUUUGUCUGUCUUGGACACCCCGCUGCCUCAGGAGUUCCCCCAGGGAGUCUAUUAGUCUGGUGGAAAGAAGAGGAAGAAAUAUGCAUGGCUGAUAAAGCUUUUGAUCAGGCAAUUAAAGCCAGAAAUAUCAGCAUGGACAGAAGUUAGAAGAAAAUAAGUCUUAAAUUACAAAGAAACAUUAUGUUCAUCUAAUCUGGGCUUCCACCUGAUGCAGUCAUCUCUGUGCCGCGUGCAGCUCCUGCUUGAAUCCAUUUAUCCAAGGGAGUCACCACCUCCCAGGCAGCUCCUGCUGGUGGUUAAACCGUUCCUUCUUAGAUUAAGCCUACAUUUACUUCCUGAUAACUUUUACCCUUUGGAAUAAUAAGAGCAACUACAUUCCUUUUUUCUUCUACACCAUUUCUAUGCCUUUCUAACAGUUGAAAUCAGUCACUAGUCCCUAUAAAUAUUCUCAGACGAUGGGAAAGUCAGAAGGAAGAAAAUAGGUAGUACUGUCCUGAGUCAGUACACUCAAGGUUAAGGCAUUCCUUCCUCACCCCCAAGAGGAAAAGAAUUCUGGCCUCUCUGUCCUGAGGUUAUGUACCUGAUCAAACCUUUUAAGAGACACAAGUAGUGAAUUUAUAGUGCUACCAUUUGGACAAAAUAGUAUAAUUUCUUCUCUAUUCUUGUCAAACCUUUCAAGUAAAUGCUAUUUUAUGGGCUAGGUAUUGUGGUUCAUGCCUGUAAUUCUAGCACUUUGGGAGGCUAAGGUGGGAGGAUCACUUGAGGUCAGGAGUUUGAGAUUG